Capra hircus (goat) is the source of this 2016-nucleotide long non-coding RNA. The record is from Ensembl. NCBI's taxonomy places the organism in Eukaryota, Metazoa, Chordata, Mammalia, Artiodactyla, Bovidae.
CACUGCAGCCGGCAUUGUAGGGGCUCUUUACGGCGAGGUCGGGCCUGUGUGGGCUGUGUGUGCCGCUACAGAAAUUCCCAGUCGCAGAUGUCGAGCUAGAGCAGUGGAGAAUGAACUCUUCAGGAAACAAUGAAAAUUUUGAGGGCAGUAACUCCAGACCUUUCUUCUAUGUGCAUCCCAUGGCCCAGCAGCCUCACCUGGGUCCCUGGUACCAGAAUCCUGCCUAUAAUCCACUCUCCAUUUCUGGGGCAGCUUUCACAAAUGGAAGUCUGUAUUUUCCAGUGGUGCUCAGUGAGUAUCCUGCCUUCCUCGUCCCUCAAUCCCCAUUGCCUACUACUGUUAACCGAAGAUCCAUAGUCCCUAUGUUUUAUAACACGGCACAGUUCCGACAGUAUGGUGGCUAUUGGGAAAAAAUGAAAACAAAGGACACACAAACAGAAGCUGAACCUCAACAGGCUGAAAACUUGAAUGAAAAACAAGACAUGCACUCAGAAGGCGACAGCCCUGAGGUAGGAAAGGUGACCAGUAUUCCUGCGAGUACAUCAAAUGAAAUGAUGCCAUCGUAUGAUGUGGUUUAUGCUCAAGAUAUGCCACAGAAGGAGGUGCCGCAAAAUGGGAUUUCUCAAAGUUUCUGUGAAAGUAGAGGAAUGCUUUAUAACUCUUAUGAGGGUAGAGACUGCAUGAACUUGGAUGAAGAAAAGAAGAGAUAUGCAGCUCUUUCCCAAAACCCACCACCUCCGAAUAGCAGAGAUGAGAUCCAGAAUACCCGGAACUCAAAAUUGUACCAGUCUGCUGGAGAUAUGAACAAGCUUCAUCAGGAACGGGCACUCUGCGCCAGCAUGGAAGCAGUUAAAGACCUGAGCCUACAUUCAGAAUCAUCUCAGAAGCCCUUUACUGCAGGGGAGGGUAUGCCAGAGAACAGGAGCGGGAGCCAUGGCUCCCCUGAGACUGUGGGUGAAGAGGCAGAGCACAGCAGCCACCCUGAGAUGCCUGUCCCGUCCCCUCCCGGCUUGGCUCAGGUCAGCAAAGAAGAUGAGGGCAUCCAGUGCGACUUGACUUGGUGGACUGAGGUACAGUCUGGGAAUUCCCCUGAGUCUUCACCAGGAAGUGGUAGGAGGGGAGCAGAUCAGCUGUCAGUGGGGAGCCAGAACCAGGAUGAAGUUAAUGAAGUGGAGAACAAUGGCUGUGAGGGGCAAGUUCCCUCCCCUACCUGGUUGGCCCAGGUCAACAAAUUGGAUGAGGGCAUCCAGUGCGACAUGGGUUGCUCUGAAGCUCAGGUAGAGAAAUCCCCCCAGCAAAUGCCCUCUAGGGGUGAAGAGACAGCAUCAGACAGCAAAACCAAGGGAUCUUGGAAACAACCAGACACCAAUAGGAAAUUAAGUGCAGAUAAAGAGGAAAUGAUCAUGAACUAUGAGACUGGGGAGGUGUAUGAUGAGAACUUGAAAAGGUGUGCGAAGAUUAAAAAGACUCUGAAAGGCAGGAAGCUGAAAGAGCUGAGCAGCUUCUCAAAUGUUAAGACAGCCUAUCUGCUGAAGAAAAGUACCAUCUUGACCAUUGUGCUUCCUGAGGAUUCAGAAGACUCUGAGUUGGAAGAGGAGGGUGACAUGGAUGAGGUAGGAUGCCUCCUUGAAGUGAGUCCACAGAGUCCUCUGACAUCUUCCAAAGGAAGGUCUUCUGAGGCUGGAAGGAUAAUCAGGAUGCUGCCUGAGAACUCUGUUCCUCCCCAACUUAUGGUGUGGCCCACCAGAAAUAAGUGCAAGUUAUUACAAGCUUAUGGUGAAUGUGAGUGUGUCCCUGCAGUUUACCGGUGGAAACGACAGGAUGGCUGUGAAAGCACUGGUGUCAGGCUCCAAAGCACACCCACCAUGGCCAAUAAGGAGGGACUGCAGUCCAGGAGGGCCUCUUACAGACCACUGGAAUGUAACUGUGAGAGAGCUAAAACCAAGGUCCCUUACAAAGUACCAGAGAUUUGAGGCAGAUACCAUAGAAUUUAGGAAAUACCCAUCAGCUCUAGAG